Molecule: ribosomal RNA, 253 nt
Filed under: uncultured bacterium
Lineage: Bacteria
Description: partial 16S ribosomal RNA
Rfam family: Bacterial small subunit ribosomal RNA
Source: RNAcentral
UACGGAGGGGGCUAGCGUUGUUCGGAAUUACUGGGCGUAAAGCGCACGUAGGCGGAUUGGAAAGUUGGGGGUGAAAUCCCAGGGCUCAACCCUGGAACUGCCUUCAAAACUCCCAGUCUGGAGGUCGAGAGAGGUGGGUGGAAUUCCGAGUGUAGAGGUGAAAUUCGUAGAUAUUCGGAGGAACACCAGUGGCGAAGGCGGCUCACUGGCUCGAUACUGACGCUGAGGUGCGAAAGCGUGGGGAGCAAACAGG